CUGCACCAUGGGCGUAUGUACAUCUCCUUAUGGCAUCUGUGCUUCCACUCCAAUGUAUUCUCCAAACAGUUGAAUGUAAAGUACAUGGAUCUGAAGAAACAUGCAUUGCUUAAUUAUUUUACUUGAAGCUGAACAUUGUUAUUUAUGCUCCUUUCUAGUUAUCUCCAUGGUAAAUCAAUAACAGCAUGGAAAUAUUGUUAAGUAAAUUUACACACUUAUUAUCCCUUAGAUGAUUUUCUUGAGCUUAUUACUUUUAUUUUGAGAACUUCCAGUUCGCUUUCUAAGACCUGCAAUUUUUUAGGUGAUUAUUCCAUUACAAGAUAUAGAUGAGGUAUGCAACCUACGAAGCUCUUUCCGUGGACUUAGUAUUUGCUUUCUAUCAGCUGAGAUAGUAGACAUCCACAUCACUUUAUCCCGCAGAUAAAAAGAAGUCAGCAUUCCCUUAUCAACCCAGCAAUUACUAUUUUUCUUCGUACCGGUUCAGGUGGUCAUGGAACACCCCCUUCAUGCAGUCAAAAUGGUAAUUUAUUGGCUCAAUCUCAUAAUUUUUAAAACGUUGGAUUCAAGAAAAUGCCUAAAUUGGAAAAGUAGUUUAAUAUCAUAGAAUCGAAUUACCACAUUUGUGCAAGUUUGAACUCCAGAGAGCUUGAACUGUAUCAUUUUCAAGUUGAGUUACUCUAAAAGAAGUGGCUUUUACCAGUAAAAGUUGCGCUAGCAAAGAAAAUCAUAAACCUAAUAGAUACUCCCUCUAUCCCAAAAUAUAACAACUUUUAGCCCUCAGGAUUUAUCCCAAAAUAUAACAACUUCUCCAUCAACAUUCUCUUCCUAACCAAUCACAACCCUCCACCAUUCACUUUUCCCACCUACCUCCACUACUCAUCCAAUCACAACCCUCCACUAUUCACUUCUACCUACUUUCUUAAUAACCGUGUCCAACUCUAAAACUUCUUAUAUUCUGGGACGGAGGGAGUAUACAAUUUAGAUUAACUAUUCAUGUUAGAAAUCUAUGUAGAGAUUUUCUGUUGAAAAUACCUGGCUUGAUUUCUCAGGAAGAAUCAGGUACAAAUUCACAUCAUUCUGGAAUAGAAACCGCACAUUUCGGGCCCUGGAGAAUGCUCUGCAGAGUUACAGGGCAACCUUAGAAGCUGAAAAACAGGUAUCCAGAAAUUAUUCUAGCUUGAAUAUUUUCUGUUGAUUUUGCAGAAAUUAUCUGAGCAUCUGUAAUGCUUUCCUACAAACAGGUCAGAAUGCAUUCACUUCAACAAAGAAGAAGCAGCGAUGUCAUCUGUAGCAAAAUAGAUGACCUAAAGACAGCAGAAAGAAGCAUUGAACAAGCAAAAGCAUUCCAACCUUUCAUCAAUGAACAUGUUCUUGUAGAUGCAACCAGUGUGAGCAUCCCAAGUUGUUUUCCUACAUAUUCAAUGCACAAUUUGUUAUCCCUUUCCCCCCUAAUUUUCAACAUGACAUUGUCCAUCAGAAAACCUUCCCUGGCACAUCUGAGAAGUUCUUCAGUAUCAUAUUAGGUGACAAUUCAAUGUUUUUCCAGCAGUAUCGACAUGGAAGAAAAGAUACAGAUUUAAAGGUUCCUAUUUUGUCAGUAGCACCAAUCGCAUGUUCUAUUUGCUAUGUCAAUCCUUGGAUGUGUUAAUCUAGUGACUGGUAGCAUAACCAACAUUUUUUUAAUUUAUAGUGUUU
Molecule: long non-coding RNA, 1695 nt
Filed under: Oryza sativa (Asian cultivated rice)
Lineage: Eukaryota; Viridiplantae; Streptophyta; Magnoliopsida; Poales; Poaceae
Description: long non-coding RNA (OSAT_LNC000409)
Source: RNAcentral